GGACUUAGAAAAAUAGAUCCACUCGCUUCAGACAACCUCAGGAUCUCCAAACUGAAGACACAAGUGACAUGACCGAAACAGGGUCCCCUCAAUAAGAUUUCCCAGAUACUGAGGACCUCAGUCUCCUCACCACCACGAUUCCUGCACACCGAUGCAUUCCUUUAAAAGUCUUGUUUCAGGAAAGCAGCUGGAACAUUAAUGGCAAUUCCACUUUCCCAUUCAUCGCCCCCGCCCCCACCACCCCACCAAGAAACUCAGUGGGAAUGAAUGGUCUACACAGAGAAACUGAAAUCUGGUUAGUCAAGAAGGAAAAAACAACCAAGUGCCUGGCAUUAAGAGGAUUUUUUUUUUAAGCUCAGCCUAUGGACAACAAAAGCAUGGACUGUAUUUCUCAGCAUCUUUUGCAGGAUGAGGAAACUGGAGCCCAGGUAGCCAUUUUGGACCUGAAGGUGGAAGUCAAGCUAGGGAGAGCAAACAACACGUGUGUGGAUCCCUGAUGAUCAGGUCAUCCUAAUCCUGAACUGCUUUCCUCUGGUCUCUUUAACAGGAGAGACCAGAGGAAAACCAUGAGAGAGAGGUAAUUUUCUAUCCCACUUAAGCCACUAUUGUACUUUGGACUUUCUUGUCAUGUACAGCCAAGCCUAAUUAUAACUAAUAAAACAUGCAAUUGAAAGACAAAAA
RNAcentral lists this long non-coding RNA (681 nucleotides) under Homo sapiens (human). RNAcentral describes it as "HSALNT0298070". Lineage: Eukaryota; Metazoa; Chordata; Mammalia; Primates; Hominidae. The record is from RNAcentral.